GUGGCAUUCACAACCAGGUCAUAUAAAACCAUAUAUCCUGACAGUAUAAGAUAGAUUGAGAUCAGAUCCAACAUCUGGCUUGUUCCUACCAGCUAGUAAAAUUAUGAUAGCUGGUUAAUAGACCAUCUUUGUAAGAUGAUUCAACUGUAUCAUCGCUGCGCAGAGUACAAGUACAGAGCCAAUGCUAAAACAUAGACCAAGCCCAAAAUGGAUGCAAAGCAGUCAUCAGCAGGCAGCAGAGGGGAGGGAGUCAUUCAUAUUGAUUUGAUGUCGAUCACCAGCCUCAAUGCUGUCUAUAACCGUCAUAACAGCUUCUCUGUGUGUUUGUUCAGGGAGUCUUGUGUCCCUGCCAGACCUACAGCACAGUCCAAGAAUCAUUUCAGAGAUCAAUUGCACAAACUAAAGGGAUGCUGCCUAACUACCUGAUGGUCACACACCUCCAUUCCAACACAAAUCCGCUUGAUAUGUUGAAUAUGUUGAACAUCUUGUUUACCUGGAGAUAAAUGAAAGGAAUUUUUUUCAAUGAGCUUAACAUUUGAUGUAUUUCCUUCCGCACAAUUGCUUGCAUUUCGGCAGCAAUACUGGAUAUGAUCCUGUAUCUACCAAGCAUCGGUGACUUCUAGGUAUCAGUGUCUAGUAUCUAGCUAAUCAGAAUUUUGCCCACCAGGUACAGACUUAAUUAAGAAGAAAGAAAAAAAUAUCAAGUUGAAGGUUUCUGGAGCUUUAUUUAUUUAU
Silurus meridionalis is the source of this 735-nucleotide long non-coding RNA. RefSeq lists it as uncharacterized. The record is from RefSeq and is a predicted model, not a curated record. The transcript has 3 exons. Lineage: Eukaryota; Metazoa; Chordata; Actinopteri; Siluriformes; Siluridae.